Molecule: ribosomal RNA, 93 nt
Filed under: Priestia flexa
Lineage: Bacteria; Bacillati; Bacillota; Bacilli; Caryophanales; Bacillaceae
Source: RNAcentral
CACACCCGUUCCCAUGCCGAACACGGAAGUUAAGUUCUCUAGCGCCGAUGGUAGUUGGGACUUUGUCCCUGUGAGAGUAGGACGUUGCCAGGC